This 253-nucleotide ribosomal RNA is filed under the name uncultured bacterium. RNAcentral's name for it is "partial 16S ribosomal RNA". It matches the Rfam family "Bacterial small subunit ribosomal RNA", at positions 524 to 776 of the family's 1533-position model. The record is from RNAcentral.
UACGGAGGGUGCAAGCGUUAUCCGGAUUCACUGGGUUUAAAGGGUGCGUAGGUGGGUUGGUAAGUCAGUGGUGAAAUCCCCGAGCUUAACUUGGGAACUGCCAUUGAUACUAUCAGUCUUGAAUACCGUGGAGGUCAGCGGAAUAUGUCAUGUAGCGGUGAAAUGCUUAGAGAUGACAUAGAACACCCAUUGCGAAGGCAGCUUACUACGCCUAUAUUGACGCUGAGGCACGAAAGCGUGGGGAUCAAACAGG